Molecule: ribosomal RNA, 484 nt
Filed under: uncultured bacterium
Lineage: Bacteria
Description: partial 16S ribosomal RNA
Rfam family: Bacterial small subunit ribosomal RNA
Source: RNAcentral
AUUGAACGCUGGCGGAAUGCUUUACACAUGCCAGUCGAGCGGCAGCACGGGGGCAACCCUGGUGGCGAGCGGCGAACGGGUGAGUAAUACAUCGGAACAUGCCCAGUCGUGGGGGAUAACACUUCGAAAGAAGUGCUAAUACCGCAUACGUCCUGAGGGAGAAAGCGGGGGAUCGCAAGACCUCGCGCGAUUGGAGUGGCCGAUGUCAGAUUAGCUAGUUGGUGGGGUAAAGGCCUACCAAGGCAACGAUCUGUAGCUGGUCUGAGAGGAUGAUCAGCCACACUGGGACUGAGACACGGCCCAGACUCCUACGGGAGGCAGCAGUGGGGAAUUUUGGACAAUGGGGGCAACCCUGAUCCAGCCAUUCCGCGUGAGUGAAGAAGGCCUUCGGGUUGUAAAGCUCUUUCGGCAGGAACGAAACGGCGAGCUCUAACAUAGCUUGCUAAUGACGGUACCUGAAGAAGAAGCACCGGCUAACUACGUG